UCCUUUUUUGUUUAGUUCUUUUUCUUUUUCCGCUUUCGUCUUUCCCGGAGUUCUUUUCAUUUCUUUUUUUAUUUUUUCCCCCUCGAAUCGUUUUCUCUACGGUCCUGGCGGAUUGUCAGUUUUGUUGGCGUCCGCCAUUAAAACUGUUUCCCGGAGAUUUGAAAAAAGAUCCUAAUCUGAAGAGAGCCGAUUUUGACAAAAUACUAUCCGAAUUAGAUGAACCAAUAUGCCCUUACUGCAAACGGAUAUUCUCCAGCCGUGGUAAUUUGAGGAGACACAUGGAAAUUCACAUCAUGAGCGAUCGUAAAAGAUUUGAAUGUGAUAUAUGCUUAAAGAAAUACAAGCGUAAAGAUUAUCUGAAAGAACAUAAAAUGACUGUA
Non-coding RNA from Parasteatoda tepidariorum (common house spider), 380 nucleotides. The record is from RefSeq and is a predicted model, not a curated record. NCBI's taxonomy places the organism in Eukaryota, Metazoa, Arthropoda, Arachnida, Araneae, Theridiidae.